AUUGAACGCUGGCGGCAGGCCUAACACAUGCAAGUCGAACGAGUGGCGGACGGGUGAGUAAUGUCUGGGAAACUGCCUGAUGGAGGGGGAUAACUACUGGAAACGGUAGAUAAUACCGCAUACCAUCUGAUGUGCCCAGAUGGGAUUAGCUAGUUGUUUGGGUAAAGGCUCAACUAGGCGACGUUCCCUAGCUGGUCUGAGAGCAGUACCGUCCCCACUGGCACUGAGACACGGUCCAGACUCCUACGGGAGGCAGCAGUGGGGAAUAUUGCACACUGGGCGCAAGCCUGAUGCAGCCAUGCCGCGUGUAUGAAGAAGGCCUUAGGGUUGUAAAGUACUUUCAGCGGGGAGGCGUUACCCGCAGAAGAAGCACCGGCUAACUCCGUGCCAGCAGCCGCGGUAAUAC
This 406-nucleotide ribosomal RNA is filed under the name uncultured bacterium. Its description in RNAcentral is "partial 16S ribosomal RNA". It matches the Rfam family "Bacterial small subunit ribosomal RNA", at positions 30 to 526 of the family's 1533-position model. The record is from RNAcentral.